GACGAACGCUGGCGGCGUGCUUAACACAUGCAAGUCGAACGGAAAGGCCCUGCUUUUGUGGGGUGCUCGAGUGGCGAACGGGUGAGUAACACGUGAGUAACCUGCCCUUGACUUUGGGAUAACUUCAGGAAACUGGGGCUAAUACCGGAUAGGAGCUCCUGCUGCAUGGUGGGGGUUGGAAAGUUUCGGCGGUUGGGGAUGGACUCGCGGCUUAUCAGCUUGUUGGUGGGGUAGUGGCUUACCAAGGCUUUGACGGGUAGCCGGCCUGAGAGGGUGACCGGCCACAUUGGGACUGAGAUACGGCCCAGACUCCUACGGGAGGCAGCAGUGGGGAAUAUUGCACAAUGGGCGGAAGCCUGAUGCAGCAACGCCGCGUGCGGGAGGACGGCCUUCGGGUUGUAAACCGCUUUCGCCUGUGACGAAGCGUGAGUGACGGUAAUGGGUAAAGAAGCACCGGCUAGCUACGU
This 467-nucleotide ribosomal RNA is filed under the name uncultured bacterium. RNAcentral's name for it is "partial 16S ribosomal RNA". It matches the Rfam family "Bacterial small subunit ribosomal RNA", at positions 28 to 506 of the family's 1533-position model. The record is from RNAcentral.